This 386-nucleotide ribosomal RNA is filed under the name uncultured bacterium. RNAcentral describes it as "bacterial SSU rRNA". It matches the Rfam family "Bacterial small subunit ribosomal RNA", at positions 29 to 420 of the family's 1533-position model. The record is from RNAcentral.
AUUGAACGCUGGCGGCAUGCCUUACACAUGCAAGUCGAACGGUAGAGGGGCAACCCUCGAGAGUGGCGAACGGGUGAGUAAUGCAUCGGAACGUACCCAGUUGUGGGGGAUAGCUCGGCGAAAGCCGGAUUAAUACCGCAUACGCACUGAGGUGGAAAGCGGGGGACUCGCAAGGGCCUCGCGCAGUUGGAGCGGCCGAUGUCAGAUUAGCUAGUUGGUGGGGUAAAGGCCUACCAAGGCGACGAUCUGUAGCUGGUCUGAGAGGAUGACCAGCCACACUGGGACUGAGACACGGCCCAGACUCCUACGGGAGGCAGCAGUGGGGAAUUUUGGACAAUGGGCGCAAGCCUGAUCCAGCCAUGCCGCGUGCAGGAAGAAGGCCUCGG